This 536-nucleotide ribosomal RNA is filed under the name uncultured archaeon. Its description in RNAcentral is "bacterial SSU rRNA". It matches the Rfam family "Archaeal small subunit ribosomal RNA", at positions 460 to 997 of the family's 1478-position model. The record is from RNAcentral.
AGCCGCCGCGGUAACACCGGCAGCUCUAGUGGUAACAAUUUUAUUGGGCCUAAAGCGUCCGUAGCCGGUUUAAUAAGUCUCUGGUGAAAUCCUGUAGCUUAACUGUGGGAAUUGCUGGAGAUACUAUUAGACUUGAGACCGGGAGAGGUUAGAGGUACUCCCAGGGUAGAGGUGAAAUUCUGUAAUCCUGGGAGGACCGCCUGUUGCGAAGGCGUCUAACUGGAACGGUUCUGACGGUGAGGGACGAAAGUUAGGGGCGCGAACCGGAUUAGAUACCCGGGUAGUCCUAACUGUAAACGAUGCGGACUUGGUGUUGGGUGGCUUUGAGCUGCUCCAGUGCCGAAGGGAAGCUGUUAAGUCCGCCGCCUGGGAAGUACGGUCGCAAGACUGAAACUUAAGGAAUUGGCGGGGGAGCACCACAACGCGUGGAGCCUGCCGGUUUAAUUGGAUUCAACGCCGGACAUCUCACCAGAGGCGACAGCUGUAUGAUAGCCAGGUUGAUGACUUUGCUUGACUAGCUGAGUGGAGGUGCAUGG